Molecule: long non-coding RNA, 554 nt
Organism: Dromaius novaehollandiae (emu)
Lineage: Eukaryota; Metazoa; Chordata; Aves; Casuariiformes; Dromaiidae
Exons: 3
Source: RefSeq, a predicted model, not a curated record
UUUUGCAGGAGAACCACUACUUGUGUGGUUUGCUUGAAGAGUGUCACUCCUGUGAAGUGUGUGAAGUUUCCAAAAUGUGCAGCUGUGUUUUGUGGAGAGGCCAGCAGAUGGCACAGGAAUUCAUACGAGAGAAUUUCCGACUGUCUAGAAGAUGCAUCCUCCUCAUCAGAGGGCACAGUGCAGUGCUUGCAUGGCUCUCUGUCUUGUCUGCAGCCAAAAGCAAGCUGAAGAAGAGGAAUAUCUCCAACAUCUCCCUAUGCCCAAUCUGUGGAUGUUGUCUGCACAAGGCUUUUGGUGAUGGAGGGAAAACCAAGGAGACUGGAACAAGAUGUCACUGGCUGCUAUGCACCAGCUGAAAGUCAAAACCUUCUAGACAAACCCCCAGGAGUUUCAACGCCUGACACAACCCGCUGAGGAGCUUUGCGUCACAAAGUCUCUACUAGGUUAUAAGAACUACAGAUAGGACAGACUGAGAAAGCAUGUAAUAACCAGCUGAGUAGUCGAGAUCUCUGCGGAUGUAGCUAUCUUCUGAACAUUGUGAUUGUGCAGUGAAA